UUGAACGCUGGCGGCAUGCUUUACACAUGCAAGUCGAACGGCAGCGCGGGCUUCGGCCUGGCGGCGAGUGGCGAACGGGUGAGUAAUGCAUCGGAACGUGCCCAGUAGUGGGGGAUAGCCCGGCGAAAGCCGGAUUAAUACCGCAUACGACCUGAGGGUGAAAGCGGAGGACCGAAAGGCCUCGCGCUAUUGGAGCGGCCGAUGUCGGAUUAGCUAGUUGGUGGGGUAAAGGCUUACCAAGGCGACGAUCCGUAGCUGGUCUGAGAGGACGACCAGCCACACUGGGACUGAGACACGGCCCAGACUCCUACGGGAGGCAGCAGUGGGGAAUUUUGGACAAUGGGGGCAACCCUGAUCCAGCCAUGCCGCGUGCGGGAAGAAGGCCUUCGGGUUGUAAACCGCUUUUGUUCGGGAAGAAAUCCUCUGGGCUAAUACCCCGGGGGGAUGACGGUACCGGAAGAAUAAGCACCGGCUAACUACGUG
Molecule: ribosomal RNA, 483 nt
Filed under: uncultured bacterium
Lineage: Bacteria
Description: partial 16S ribosomal RNA
Rfam family: Bacterial small subunit ribosomal RNA
Source: RNAcentral